AAUGUUCAACGUCCUCCUGGGAUACGGAAGGCACCGUGAUAGACAUCUGGGCAAGUCAACAGGAAGGUGGAUAUCCAAAUCUCUCUCUUCGCAAUGAGUUUCCAGUUAGAUGGAGGAGAGAGUAAUAAAACACAGAGCUGAGAUUCCUGACUUCACAGAUCCCUGAGGAGAUGUUUACUAAAGGGAAUCUUCUGGUCACUGUUACCUUCCUCCGUACUUACCUGCCUCAUGGAGAACCCGAAAGGAAGAAGCUAUACGACUGGGGACACAUGUCUUAGAAGCACACUCAUUAGAUAAAGUGUCGCAUACUCUUUGAUAAGUGACUCAGAACACCCGUGUCCUUCCCAACAUUGGAUGCAAUGCUAAAGACAUGAUGUUGCUCCUGCUGGACCACACCUUGAAGGAAUUGCCUACCCCACCUCACCUCCAAAAUUAAAGUCUUUCGUUUUGACAAAAGUUAAUGAUAA
Homo sapiens (human) is the source of this 467-nucleotide long non-coding RNA. Ensembl annotates it as long intergenic non-protein coding RNA 1060. NCBI's taxonomy places the organism in Eukaryota, Metazoa, Chordata, Mammalia, Primates, Hominidae. The record is from Ensembl.